This 254-nucleotide ribosomal RNA is filed under the name uncultured bacterium. RNAcentral describes it as "partial 16S ribosomal RNA". It matches the Rfam family "Bacterial small subunit ribosomal RNA", at positions 524 to 776 of the family's 1533-position model. The record is from RNAcentral.
UACGUAGGCAGCGAGCGUUGUUCGGAGUUACUGGGCGUAAAGCGUGCGUAGGCGGUGUCUUAAGUUUGUUGUGAAAUCUCCCGGCUUAACCGGGAGGGUGCGGCGAAUACUGAGAUGCUGGAGUGCCGGAGAGGUAAGCGGAAUUCCUGGUGUAGCGGUGAAAUGCGUAGAUAUCAGGAGGAACACCUGCGGUGUAGACGGCUUACGUGGACGGUAACUGACGCUGAGGCACGAAAGCGUGGGUAGCAAACAGG